This 468-nucleotide ribosomal RNA is filed under the name uncultured bacterium. Its description in RNAcentral is "partial 16S ribosomal RNA". It matches the Rfam family "Bacterial small subunit ribosomal RNA", at positions 28 to 507 of the family's 1533-position model. The record is from RNAcentral.
GACGAACGCUGGCGGCGUGCUUAACACAUGCAAGUCGAACGGAAAGGCCCUGCUUUUGUGGGGUGCUCGAUUGGCGAACGGGUGAGUAACACGUGAGUAACCUGCCCUUGACUUUGUGAUAACUUCAGGAAACUGUGGCUAAUACCGGAUAGGAGCUCCUGCUGCAUUGUGUGGGUUGGAAAGUUUCGGCGGUUGGGGAUGGACUCGCGGCUUAUCAGCUUGUUGGUGGGGUAGUUGCUUACCAAGUCUUUGACGGGUAGCCGGCCUGAGAGGGUGAACGGCGAAAAUGGGACUGAGAUAGGGAACAGAGUACUACGGGAGGCAGCAGUGGGGAAUAUUGAAAAAUGGGAGGAAGCCUGAUGAAGAAACGCAGCGUGCGGGAUGAAGGCCUUAGGGUUGUAAAAAGAUUUAGCAUGUGACGAAGAGUGAGUGACGGUAAUGGGUAAAGAAGCAACGGCUAACUACGUG